GCCGCAAUAGCGUAGUGGUAGCGCGUCUCACUUGUAUCUUGCUUAUGUGAGCAGAAGGAUCAUGAGAAGGUCACUCGUUCAAUCCGGGUUUGUGGCA
This 97-nucleotide transfer RNA is filed under the name Galerina marginata CBS 339.88. It matches the Rfam family "tRNA". Rfam says of the family: Transfer RNA (tRNA) molecules are approximately 80 nucleotides in length. Their secondary structure includes four short double-helical elements and three loops (D, anti-codon, and T loops). Lineage: Eukaryota; Fungi; Basidiomycota; Agaricomycetes; Agaricales; Galerinaceae. The record is from Rfam by way of RNAcentral.